GGGAGUGUCGCCUAAUGGAUGGGCAUCGUUCGCGUAACGAUUUGUAGGGGUUCAAGUCCCUUCACUCCUGCCA
This 73-nucleotide transfer RNA is filed under the name Tolypothrix sp. LEGE 11397. RNAcentral's name for it is "tRNA-Arg". It matches the Rfam family "tRNA". Rfam says of the family: Transfer RNA (tRNA) molecules are approximately 80 nucleotides in length. The record is from RNAcentral. Lineage: Bacteria; Bacillati; Cyanobacteriota; Cyanophyceae; Nostocales; Tolypothrichaceae.